UGAGCAAUCUGCCCUUCCCAUCGGAAUAAGCGUUGGAAACGACGUCUAAUGCCGAAUACGACCUCCUUUCGCAUGAUCGGAGGUGGAAAGCUCCGGCGGAGAAGGAUGAGCUCGCGGCCUAUCAGCUAGUUGGUGUGGGUAAUGGCCCACCAAGGCGACGACGGGUAGCCGGCCUGAGAGGGUGACCGGCCACACUGGGACUGAGACACGGCCCAGACUCCUACGGGAGGNAGCG
Molecule: ribosomal RNA, 235 nt
Filed under: uncultured bacterium
Lineage: Bacteria
Description: partial 16S ribosomal RNA
Rfam family: Bacterial small subunit ribosomal RNA
Source: RNAcentral